Molecule: ribosomal RNA, 305 nt
Filed under: uncultured bacterium
Lineage: Bacteria
Description: bacterial SSU rRNA
Rfam family: Bacterial small subunit ribosomal RNA
Source: RNAcentral
GAGCCUACGGGACGCAGCAGUGGGGAAUAUUGGGCAAUGGGCGCAAGCCUGACCCAGCAACGCCGCGUGAAGGAAGAAGGCUUUCGGGUUGUAAACUUCUUUUAAGAGGGACGAAGGAAGUGACGGUACCUCUUGAAUAAGCCACGGCCAACUACGUGCCAGCAGCCGCGGUAAUACGUAGGUGGCAAGCGUUAUCCGGAUUUAUUGGGUGUAAAGGGCGUGUAGGCGGGAGCGCAAGUCAGAUGUGAAAACUCAGGGCUCAACCCUGAGCCUGCAUUUGAAACUGUGUUUCUUGAGUGCUGGAG